This 263-nucleotide ribosomal RNA is filed under the name Spio sp. GF-11467_2585. Its description in RNAcentral is "partial large subunit ribosomal RNA". Lineage: Eukaryota; Metazoa; Annelida; Polychaeta; Spionida; Spionidae. The record is from RNAcentral.
CCCUAUGGUAGCUUUAUUUAUUGAUCGCAAAGCGGAUCUGUAUUAUAAAAAUUAAAAAGAGAAGAUUUAGAUUUUCUCUUGUCGCCCCAACAAAAUUUUAGGUAUGAGGGCAUACUUUUAAAUCAAGCUCGAUAGGGUCUUUUUGUCUUUUUAUAGUAUUUAAGCCUCUUCACUUAAAGGUUAGUUUUUAUAUGUAGAAAAGAAACAGUUAGACUCUCGUGAUUCCAUUCAUUCCAGUCUCUAAUUAGGAGACAAAUUAUUAU